Molecule: transfer RNA, 96 nt
Filed under: Candidatus Bathyarchaeota archaeon
Lineage: Archaea; Thermoproteati; Candidatus Bathyarchaeota
Also listed under: 1 other name
Description: tRNA-Leu
Rfam family: tRNA
About the family: Transfer RNA (tRNA) molecules are approximately 80 nucleotides in length. Their secondary structure includes four short double-helical elements and three loops (D, anti-codon, and T loops).
Source: RNAcentral
GCGGGGGUCGCCAAGCCAGGUCAAUUAAUGACCAAAGGCGGCGGGUUCAGGACCCGCUGACGUAGGUCUUCGUGGGUUCAAAUCCCACCCCCCGCA